Molecule: ribosomal RNA, 343 nt
Filed under: uncultured bacterium
Lineage: Bacteria
Description: partial 16S ribosomal RNA
Rfam family: Bacterial small subunit ribosomal RNA
Source: RNAcentral
CCUACGGGUAGCAGCAGUGGGGGAUAUUGCACAAUGGGGGCAACCCUGAUGCAGCGACGCCGCGUGAGCGAUGGAGUACUUCGGUAUGUAAAGCUCUGUCAGCAGGGAAGAGAAUGACGGUACCUGACCAAGAAGCCCCGGCUAAAUACGUGCCAGCAGCCGCGGGAAUACGUAUGGGGCAAGCGUUAUCCGGAUGUACUGGGUGUUAAGGGAGCGUAGGAUGCGGGGCAAGCCUGGUGUGAAAGCCCGGGGGUCAACCCCGGGACUGCAUAGGGAACUGCGCCGCUCGAGUGCCGGAGGGGCAGGCGGAAUUCCGAGUGUAGCGGUGGAAUGCGUAGAUAUU